ACUGUACAAAGGUGAGUAACAAAGACAAAAAAUGUUCCAAAAUGAAGCCUAAAACUACAAAGUAUUAUUAUUCAUUAAGAUUCAGAAGAACCAUUAUUCAACUUUGUUCCCAUGGAAGCAGUACAUUCAGAUAGAAACAAGGGAAAUCAAUUGCACCUAAAAAGACCAAAUCGUGAAGAUAACGGUGUGACUUCGUAUACAUUUAUAAAAAAGCCUGCCCUGGGAUUCAAGAUUGUACGCAUUGAAAUAUAUGAUGCCAAAGAUUUCAUGGACCGAGAAGACACCCUCUGCAAAUGUAAAGCGGAGUUGUGUGCACAAUAUGUCGUAAAACAUGUAUUAUUCGACGAUAUUUACAAAUCCGCAAAUGAAUUAAUUCAAAAGAUUCAAAAUAAUUUAGAGAAUUAAAGAAAUAAAUGUUCAGAUAUAAA
This is a long non-coding RNA of Helicoverpa zea (corn earworm), 428 nucleotides long. RefSeq lists it as uncharacterized. NCBI's taxonomy places the organism in Eukaryota, Metazoa, Arthropoda, Insecta, Lepidoptera, Noctuidae. The record is from RefSeq and is a predicted model, not a curated record. The transcript has 2 exons.